ACGGAGGAUCCAAGCGUUAUCCGGAAUCAUUGGGUUUAAAGGGUCCGUAGGCGGUCUUAUAAGUCAGUGGUGAAAGCCCAUCGCUCAACGAUGGAACUGCCAUUGAUACUGUAAGACUUGAAUACUUGUGAAGUAACUAGAAUAUGUAGUGUAGCGGUGAAAUGCUUAGAUAUUACAUGGAAUACCAAUUGCGAAGGCAGGUUACUAACAAGUUAUUGACGCUGAUGGACGAAAGCGUGGGGAGCGAACAGGAUUAGAUACCCUGGUAGUCCACGCCGUAAACGAUGGAUACUAGCUGUUCGGAGCAAUCUGAGUGGCUAAGCGAAAGUGAUAAGUAUCCCACCUGGGGAGUACGCACGCAAGUGUG
Molecule: ribosomal RNA, 367 nt
Filed under: uncultured bacterium
Lineage: Bacteria
Description: bacterial SSU rRNA
Rfam family: Bacterial small subunit ribosomal RNA
Source: RNAcentral